Molecule: transfer RNA, 36 nt
Filed under: Liparis loeselii
Lineage: Eukaryota; Viridiplantae; Streptophyta; Magnoliopsida; Asparagales; Orchidaceae
Description: partial transfer RNA-Ser
Source: RNAcentral
GGAGAGAUGGCCGAGUGGUUCAAGGCGUAGCAUUGG